Molecule: non-coding RNA, 87 nt
Organism: Paenibacillus naphthalenovorans
Lineage: Bacteria; Bacillati; Bacillota; Bacilli; Caryophanales; Paenibacillaceae
Source: Rfam
UAACCAGAGUCGGAAGGCUCUGCUGAAUCCUCAGGAGUCAGCAGAGGCCAUAGUACGCAAGUACGGGACGCCGGACAGCGGAAGGGC